This 484-nucleotide ribosomal RNA is filed under the name uncultured bacterium. RNAcentral's name for it is "bacterial SSU rRNA". It matches the Rfam family "Bacterial small subunit ribosomal RNA", at positions 29 to 507 of the family's 1533-position model. The record is from RNAcentral.
AUUGAACGCUGGCGGCAUGCUUUACACAUGCAAGUCGAACGGCAGCGGGGGCUUCGGCCUGCCGGCGAGUGGCGAACGGGUGAGUAAUGCAUCGGAACGUACCCAGUCGUGGGGGAUAACGUAGCGAAAGUUACGCUAAUACCGCAUACGUCCUGAGGGAGAAAGCGGGGGACCGUAAGGCCUCGCGCGAUUGGAGCGGCCGAUGUCGGAUUAGCUAGUUGGUGGGGUAAAGGCCUACCAAGGCGACGAUCCGUAGCGGGUCUGAGAGGAUGAUCCGCCACACUGGGACUGAGACACGGCCCAGACUCCUACGGGAGGCAGCAGUGGGGAAUUUUGGACAAUGGGGGCAACCCUGAUCCAGCCAUGCCGCGUGAGUGAAGAAGGCCUUCGGGUUGUAAAGCUCUUUCAGACGGAAAGAAAACGCAUCGGUGAAUACCCGGUGUGGAUGACGGUACCGUAAGAAGAAGCACCGGCUAACUACGUG